UCAAAUUAAAGUCAAACAAGAGCAAACAUCCUUGGUCUCAUGUUUAUAUCAUUCAUCAUGCUCAUGUUAUGCACAAAAUAAGGCAAACUAGUUCAAAUGAAGCACCAAACAUGCAAACAGAAUUAUUGCACUCAAAUCCAUACCAAAACAAAUCUAAAAAUUCUCAAAUUAUUUACACCUAAACAGGGGGCAUUCAAGGUUUACCAUGUCAAAUUUGAGCUUAAAUGGGCAAAUGGAACCAUG
RNAcentral lists this long non-coding RNA (243 nucleotides) under Lathyrus oleraceus (garden pea). Its description in RNAcentral is "Pisum sativum (pea) long non-coding RNA (PSAT_LNC037334)". Lineage: Eukaryota; Viridiplantae; Streptophyta; Magnoliopsida; Fabales; Fabaceae. The record is from RNAcentral.